This 447-nucleotide ribosomal RNA is filed under the name uncultured bacterium. Its description in RNAcentral is "bacterial SSU rRNA". It matches the Rfam family "Bacterial small subunit ribosomal RNA", at positions 355 to 825 of the family's 1533-position model. The record is from RNAcentral.
UGGGGAAUAUUGGACAAUGGGCGAAAGCCUGAUCCAGCCAUGCCGCGUGAGUGACGAAGGCCUUAGGGUUGUAAAACUCUUUCGUCGGGGACGAUAAUGACGGUACCCGAAGAAGAAGCUCCGGCUAACUUCGUGCCAGCAGCCGCGGUAAUACGAAGGGAGCUAGCGUUGUUCGGAAUCACUGGGCGUAAAGCGCACGUAGGCGGAUAGUUAAGUCAGGGGUGAAAUCCUGGGGCUCAACCUGGGAAUUGCAUUGGAUACUGGCAGGCUAGAGUGCGGUAGAGGAUGGCGGAAUUCCCGGUGUAGCAGUGAAAUGCGUAGAGAUCGGGAGGAACAUCUGUGGCGAAGGCGGCCAUCUGGACCAGCACUGACACUGAGGCACGAAAGCGUGGGGAGCAAACAGGAUUAGAUACCCCCGUAGUCCCUGAGCGGGCUGGCAAGGCGCAU